AUACGGAAGGUCCGGGCGUUAUCCGGAUUUAUUGGGUUUAAAGGGAGCGUAGGCCGGAGAUUAAGCGUGUUGUGAAAUGUAGGUGCUCAACAUCUGAACUGCAGCGCGAACUGGUUUCCUUGAGUACGCACAAAGUGGGCGGAAUUCGUGGUGUAGCGGUGAAAUGCUUAGAUAUCACGAAGAACUCCGAUUGCGAAGGCAGCUCACUGGAGCGCAACUGACGCUGAAGCUCGAAAGUGCGGGUAUCGAACAGGAUUAGAUACCCUGGUAGUCCGCACGGUAAACGAUGGAUGCCCGCUGUUGGUCUGAAUAGGUCAGCGGCCAAGCGAAAGCAUUAAGCAUCCCACCUGGGGAGUACGCCGGCAACGGUGAAACUCAAAGGAAUUGACGGGGGCCCGCACAAGCGGAGGAACAUGUGGUUUAAUUCGAUGAUACGCGAGGAACCUUACCCGGGCUUGAAUUGCAGAGGAAGGAUUUGGAGACAAUGACGCCCUUCGGGGCCUCUGUGAAGGUGCUGCAUGGUUGUCGUCAGCUCGUGCCGUGAGGUGUCGGCUUAAGUGCCAUAACGAGCGCAACCCCUCUCCUUAGUUGCCAUCAGGUGAAGCUGGGCACUCUGGGGACACUGCCACCGUAAGGUGUGAGGAAGGUGGGGAUGACGUCAAAUCAGCACGGCCCUUACGUCCGGGGCUACACACGUGUUACAAUGGCAGGUACAGAGAGACGGUCCCUUGCAAAACGGAUCAAAUCCUUAAAGCCUGUCUCAGUUCGGACUGUGGUCUGCAACCCGACCCCACGAAGCUGGAUUCGCUAGUAAUCGCGCAUCAGCCAUGGCGCGGUGAAUACGUUCCCGGGCCUUGUACACACCGCCCGUCAAGCCAUGAAAGCCGGGGGCGCCUAAAGUCCGUGACCGUAAGGAGCGGCCUAGGGCGAAACUGGUAAUUGGGGCU
RNAcentral lists this ribosomal RNA (947 nucleotides) under uncultured bacterium. RNAcentral describes it as "bacterial SSU rRNA". It matches the Rfam family "Bacterial small subunit ribosomal RNA", at positions 523 to 1482 of the family's 1533-position model. The record is from RNAcentral.